This 64-nucleotide microRNA precursor is filed under the name Callorhinchus milii (elephant shark). RNAcentral's name for it is "Cmi-Mir-146-P4_pre stem-loop". Lineage: Eukaryota; Metazoa; Chordata; Chondrichthyes; Chimaeriformes; Callorhinchidae. The record is from RNAcentral.
UGAGAACUGAAUUCCAUGGGUUGUCCCAGAUACCUUUUCUCAACCCAUGAUUCUCAGUUCUGCA